UACGAAGGGUGCAAACGUUGCUCGGAAUCAUUGGGCGUAAAGCGCACGUAGGCGGCUUGCCAAGUCGGACGUGAAAUCCCUCAGCUCAACUGAGGACGUGCAUCCGAAACUGGCGAGCUUGAGUACUGAAGAGGAUCGCGGAAUUCCCGGUGUAGAGGUGAAAUUCGUAGAUAUCGGGAGGAACACCGGUGGCGAAGGCGGCGAUCUGGGUCGAUACUGACGCUGAGGUGCGAAAGCGUGGGGAGCAAACAGG
This 253-nucleotide ribosomal RNA is filed under the name uncultured bacterium. RNAcentral describes it as "partial 16S ribosomal RNA". It matches the Rfam family "Bacterial small subunit ribosomal RNA", at positions 524 to 776 of the family's 1533-position model. The record is from RNAcentral.